GCGGGGAUCACUCCCAUAAGCGCUAACUUAAGGGUUGUGGUAUUACGCCUGAUAUGAUUUAACGUGGAGCACGACCUUGCCAAGGUCGGGGUCGCGAGUUCGAGUCUCGUUUCCCGCUCCA
RNAcentral lists this transfer RNA (121 nucleotides) under Escherichia coli. RNAcentral's name for it is "tRNA-Gly". Lineage: Bacteria; Pseudomonadati; Pseudomonadota; Gammaproteobacteria; Enterobacterales; Enterobacteriaceae. The record is from RNAcentral.